Molecule: non-coding RNA, 1074 nt
Organism: Pelobates cultripes (western spadefoot toad)
Lineage: Eukaryota; Metazoa; Chordata; Amphibia; Anura; Pelobatidae
Source: the annotation of a GenBank genome assembly
GUUGGUUUUGCUCUCUUUGGCUAUCAUUUUUUCAUUUUCAAGUUUAGCAAAUCUAAUCGCCUUUUUGCACGCAUUAUUGGCUUCCUUAUAUCUUUUAUAGGAUGCAUCUAAUUUGUCUGAUUUAAAUGCUUUAAAUGCCAUUUUCUUCUUUUUAAUCUCUUGUUUUACUUCUCUACUAAGCCACAUCGGUUUCAAUUUGUUUCUUUUAUAUUUUUUACCGAAUGGUACAUACUAAGAAAUGUACCUUUCUAAUAUUUGUUGCAAGAUGUUCCAUUUAUCCUCAGUGUUCUUUUCACUAAAGAGUUUAUGCCAGUCAAUAUAUUGUAAAGCUGCCCUUAACUUAUAGAAAUUGGCGUUUUUAAAAUGAUAUCUUUUAGUAUACCCCAUGUGCUUUUGUUUUCUUGAGUUCAUUUCAAAGGACUCUAUAUUGUGAUCACUAUUUCCCAAGUGCUCACCUACUUGAAUGUUGGUCAAAAGAUCAACGUUGUUUGCUUUAACCAGGUCCAGACAAGUGUCCUUUCUAGUUGGUGCUUGUACAAGUUGUGACAUGAAGGUGUCAUUUAACAAGUUCAAAAACCUAAUUCCCUUUGCUGAGCUACUAGUCCCUCUGUCCCAAUUUAUGUCCAGGUAAUUAAAAUCUUCAAAAAUAAAGUGUUACCCAGAUUUGCAGCUUUCUCAAAUUGCUCAAACAGCUGUUGUUCCUCAUCAAUAUUAACAUUAGGUGGUUUAUAACAUAUCCCAACCAAUAGUUGAUUUCCUUCCUUUUGCCCAUAAAGCUUCUACAUUUUCCUUAUCACAUUCCACUUGCUUAAGAUUUGGCUUUAACUCAUGGUUGACAUACAAACAUACCCCACCACACCUCUUGUUUUUCCUAUCCUUCCUAAACAACAUAUACCCAUUUAAGUUAACUGCCCAGACAUGUGUCUAAUCCCACCAUGUUUCAGUUAUGCCUAUUAUGUCAUUGUUUAGUGUAUGCUAUUGCCUCUAGUCCCCCAUUUUGUUAUUUAGGCUCCUUGCAUUAUUAAGCAUACAUUUAAUAUCAUGAGUCACUUGUACUUUUUGUGAAUUAUUAAC